This 274-nucleotide ribosomal RNA is filed under the name uncultured bacterium. RNAcentral's name for it is "partial 16S ribosomal RNA". It matches the Rfam family "Bacterial small subunit ribosomal RNA", at positions 523 to 796 of the family's 1533-position model. The record is from RNAcentral.
AUACGAAGGUCCCAAGCGUUAUUCGGAAUCACUGGGCGUAAAGAGUACGUAGGCGGUUUGGUAAGUCAGGUGUGAAAUCCCGGAGCUCAACUCCGGAACUGCAUCCGAUACUGCCAGACUUGAGUAAUGGAGAGGCAGGUGGAAUUCUCGGUGUAGCAGUGAAAUGCGUGGAUAUCGAGAGGAAGACCAAUGGCGAAGGCAGCCUGCUGGACAUUUACUGACGCUGAGGUACGAAGGCUAGGGGAGCGAAAGGGAUUAGAAACCCCUGUAGUCC